AAGCAAUGAGACUCAGUACUUCCGUUGUAGUUGUAGAUAAGUUUCUCUCCUAGCUUCUGCAAGCGCUCAUGUGGCGGCGCAGUCAUCGCUUGCCUAUUGCCUUCCUAAGCAAAUGGCAAACCCAACUUAUCACUUAACCCACCCAACGUUCGUCGAAUUUAUACAAUCUCAAGAGUCUCCCACAAACCUUUAUAUUUCUCUUUAAACCGCACCAUUACUCUUCAUCUUCAACCUCCAGAUUUCAUACCCCCAAAGGAAAAGACAACAAAGCCCUCUCCUCUCUCUCUCUCUCUCUCUCUCUCUCUCUCUCUCUCUCUCUCUCUCUGCGUCUCUGUUGUUUCUCUCCGGCUGAGUUCUCCUCCAUGGCCCGCCUGUGGGGACAGAGCUAUCACCACGUGGGAACCGACCCGUCAAUCAGCAGAAGCACCUCAGUGGCUAGGAGUACUAGCAGUGGGUCCUUCUACAACAGCUACAUGGAGCAGGGAAGCAGCAACUACACGUUGAUGGAGAAGAGGCAGCUUUUUCUCAGAAGCUACCAGUUCAGCAGGAAGAAGAGCCUGACGGAGAAGAUAAAAGGGUCUUUUUGCAAAGUCAAGAGGGCGAUAUGCCUGCGGCUGAGGUCGGCGAGGAAGCUCCGGAAACUGGUUUCUUUCAAGCUCAGGUAUGGCGUUUCUUUCCGGAGAAGAAGACUCUGCCGUCUGCUGAAUAAUUACCGUCGUACCCGCAAAUGCGAUAAGUCCUAUUGCUUCUGGUAGGGAGUACUCGAAACUCGUGUCAAUGUCUAAUUCUUCUCUCUCCCUCUGUUUUCGGGUUUCUUGUACUCAUUUUUUAUCCAUCUGCACUCGUUCUGCACCGACUGGGUCGGAAUGAGCGCAUGAGGCUAAAAGAGGAGUGCUAAAAUUACUUAUGUCUUACAAUUUCUUUUGUUUGUAUGUAAUUUCAAAGAAAAAAAGUGGUGCUUGAACUUGAAAAGCAUUAGAAUUUGUGGUAUUAGAUUCGCACCCCACAAUUGAUCUUGCUUCCAAGAGUCUGAAAAAAAAAAAAGAGUUAUAUACAUGAUGAAUUCCUGUUCGAUUUAUUUUGUGAUACUAGUUGUUAAUUUUAGUUAGGGUUUUUGCUCUCUACUCUAAGAGUUUUUUUUUGGGGGGGGGGGAGAGAUUUAGGAAAAUGGUGUGUUUUAGUAUUUUUAGGUGAUUUAUAUUUGUCUUAAAACUUGUCCAUAGUGUGGUUAAACUGUAUUUUUUAUGUCGUUGAAAUUGUUG
This 1262-nucleotide long non-coding RNA is filed under the name Malus domestica (apple). RNAcentral describes it as "long non-coding RNA (MDOM_LNC004097)". The record is from RNAcentral. Lineage: Eukaryota; Viridiplantae; Streptophyta; Magnoliopsida; Rosales; Rosaceae.